GAUGAACGCUGGCGGCGUGCCUAACACAUGCAAGUCGAACGGAGUCCAGCCUUUAAGACCUUCGGGUCAAAGAGGGGAAGACUGAGUGGCGGACGGGUGAGUAACACGUGGGCAACCUGGCUCAUAGAGGGGGAUAACAGAGAGAAAUUUCUGCUAAUACCGCAUAAGCACACACUGCCGCAUGGCAGAGGGUGAAAAGAGAAUCGCUAUGAGAUGGACCCGCGUCUGAUUAGCCAGUUGGCAGGGUAAGAGCCCACCAAAGCGACGAUCAGUAGCAGAUCUGAGAGGAUGAACGGCCACAUUGGGACUGAGACACGGCCCAAACUCCUACGGGAGGCAGCAGUGGGUGAUAUUGCACAAUGGGGGGAACCCUGAUGCAGCGGCGCCGCGUGAGUGAAGAAGUAUUUCGGUAUGUAAAUCUCUAUCAGCAGGGAAGAUAAUGACAGUACCUGAAUAAGAAGCCCCGGCUAACUACGUG
Molecule: ribosomal RNA, 478 nt
Filed under: uncultured bacterium
Lineage: Bacteria
Description: partial 16S ribosomal RNA
Rfam family: Bacterial small subunit ribosomal RNA
Source: RNAcentral